GCCUCGGUAGCUCAGUCUGGUGGAGUGCAAGACUCGUAAUCCUGUGGUCGCGGGUUCAAUUCCCGCUCGAGGCU
RNAcentral lists this transfer RNA (74 nucleotides) under Methanobrevibacter sp. RNAcentral's name for it is "tRNA-Thr". It matches the Rfam family "tRNA". Rfam says of the family: Transfer RNA (tRNA) molecules are approximately 80 nucleotides in length. Their secondary structure includes four short double-helical elements and three loops (D, anti-codon, and T loops). Lineage: Archaea; Methanobacteriati; Methanobacteriota; Methanobacteria; Methanobacteriales; Methanobacteriaceae. The record is from RNAcentral.